RNAcentral lists this ribosomal RNA (510 nucleotides) under Scoloplos armiger. RNAcentral describes it as "partial 16S ribosomal RNA". It matches the Rfam family "Bacterial large subunit ribosomal RNA", at positions 1831 to 2597 of the family's 2925-position model. The record is from RNAcentral. Lineage: Eukaryota; Metazoa; Annelida; Polychaeta; Orbiniidae.
UGCCUAUUGAAUAUAUUAAAGGUACAUCCUGCCCAGUGACAAAAGUUAAACGGCCGCGGUACCCUGACCGUGCUAAGGUAGCAUAAUCAUUUGCCUCUUAAUUGGUGGCUAGUAUGAAAGGACAAACGAGAGCUUAGCUGUCUCUUACUUACACCCCUUAAAUUAACCUCCGGGUGAAAAGGCCCGAAUAAUUUUAUAAGACAAGAAGACCCUGUCAAGCUUUACUAAAAACACCUGCAACCAGAAAUUUCAAACCAUCUGCUUUCCAUUUAAUAAUAGUUUAGUUGGGGCGACUAAGGACCAAACCUAACGUCCUUCCAAUAAUAAAGGAUUAUAAUCCUACAAACCUGAUCCCACAAAGGAUAAAGAGACAAGCUACUGCAGGGAUAACAGGCUAAUUUUUCCUGAGAGUCCAAAUCGAAGGAAAAGUUUGGCACCUCGAUGUUGGCUUAAGAUAACCAUAAAGUGCAGCAGCUUUACAUGGUAGGUUUGUUCACCAUUUAAAAUCUU